GAUGAACGCUGGCGGCGUGCCUAAUACAUGCCAGUCGAGCGAACGGACGAGGAGCUUGCUUCUCUGAUGUUAGCGGCGGACGGGUGAGUAACACGUGGAUAACCUACCUAUAAGACUGGGAUAACUUCGGGAAACCGGAGCUAAUACCGGAUAAUAUUUUGAACCGCAUGGUUCAAUAGUGAAAGACGGUCUUGCUGUCACUUAUAGAUGGAUCCGCGCUGCAUUAGCUAGUUGGUAAGGUAACGGCUUACCAAGGCAACGAUGCAUAGCCGACCUGAGAGGGUGAUCGGCCACACUGGAACUGAGACACGGUCCAGACUCCUACGGGAGGCAGCAGUAGGGAAUCUUCCGCAAUGGGCGAAAGCCUGACGGAGCAACGCCGCGUGAGUGAUGAAGGUCUUCGGAUCGUAAAACUCUGUUAUUAGGGAAGAACAUAUGUGUAAGUAACUGUGCACAUCUUGACGGUACCUAAUCAGAAAGCCACGGCUAACUACGUG
RNAcentral lists this ribosomal RNA (497 nucleotides) under uncultured bacterium. Its description in RNAcentral is "partial 16S ribosomal RNA". It matches the Rfam family "Bacterial small subunit ribosomal RNA", at positions 28 to 507 of the family's 1533-position model. The record is from RNAcentral.